Molecule: ribosomal RNA, 430 nt
Filed under: uncultured bacterium
Lineage: Bacteria
Description: bacterial SSU rRNA
Rfam family: Bacterial small subunit ribosomal RNA
Source: RNAcentral
AACGAACGCUGGCGGCGUGGAUAAGACAUGCAAGUCGAACGCUUGUUUCGGGGUAGCAAUAUUCCGGAGCAGGAGUGGCGCAAGGGUGCGUAACACGUGGGUAAUUUGCCGCGAAGCUGGGAACAACUCGUUGAAAGACGAGCUAAUACCCAAUGUGCUCCGCAAGGAGUAAAGCCGGGGACCGCAAGGCCUGGCACUUCGCGAUAAGCCCGCGGCCUAUCAGCUAGUUGGCGGGGUAAAAGCCCACCAAGGCUAAGACGGGUAGCUGGUCUGAGAGGACGACCAGCCACACUGGAACUGAGACACGGUCCAGACACCUACGGGUGGCAGCAGUCGAGAAUUUUUCACAAUGGGCGCAAGCCUGAUGGAGCGACGCCGCGUGGGGGAGUGAAGGGGCUUCGGCUCGUAAAACCCCUCGUCAUUUGCGAAC